Molecule: ribosomal RNA, 511 nt
Filed under: uncultured bacterium
Lineage: Bacteria
Description: bacterial SSU rRNA
Rfam family: Bacterial small subunit ribosomal RNA
Source: RNAcentral
CGCUGGCGGCGUGCCUAAUACAUGCAAGUCGAACGGUCUUUCUAUGGAAGCUUGCUUCCACUGAGAAGAUAGUGGCGAACGGGUGAGUAACACGUGGGUAACCUGCCCAUAAGAGGGGGAUAACAUCCGGAAACGGGUGCUAAUACCGCAUAGUUUUCUUGAUCGCAUGAUUGAGAAAGGAAAGACGGCCUUUGUGCUGUCGCUUAUGGAUGGACCCGCGGCGUAUUAGUUAGUUGGUGAGGUAAUGGCUCACCAAGACGAUGAUACGUAGCCGACCUGAGAGGGUAAUCGGCCACAUUGGGACUGAGACACGGCCCAAACUCCUACGGGAGGCAGCAGUAGGGAAUCUUCCGCAAUGGACGAAAGUCUGACGGAGCAACGCCGCGUGAGUGAAGAAAGGUUUUCGGAUCGUAAAACUCUGUUGUCAGAGAAGAACAAGUUGGAGAGUAACUGCUCCAGCCUUGACGGUAUCUGACCAGAAAGCCACGGCUAACUACGUGCCAGCCGCCGC